AGAGUUUGAUCAUGGCUCAGAUUGAACGCUGGCGGAAUGCUUUACGCAUGCAAGUCGAACGGCAGCACGGGGCAACCUGGUGGCGAGUGGCGAACGGGUGAGUAAUACAUCGGAACGUGCCCAAUCGUGGGGGAUAACGUAGCGAAAGUUACGCUAAUACCGCAUACGAUCUACGGAUGAAAGCGGGGGAUCGCAAGACCUCGCGCGAGUGGAGCGGCCGAUGUCAGAUUAGGUAGUUGGUGGGGUAAAGGCUCACCAAGCCAACGAUCUGUAGCUGGUCUGAGAGGACGACCAGUCACACUGGAACUGAGACACGGUCCAGACUCCUACGGGAGGCAGCAGUGGGGAAUUUUGGACAAUGGGCGCAAGCCUGAUCCAGCCAUUCCGCGUGCAGGAUGAAGGCCUUCGGGUUGUAAACUGCUUUUGUACGGAACGAAACGGCGAGCUCUAAUACAGUUUGCUAAUGACGGUACCGUAAGAAUAAGCACCGGCUAACUACGUG
Molecule: ribosomal RNA, 502 nt
Filed under: uncultured bacterium
Lineage: Bacteria
Description: bacterial SSU rRNA
Rfam family: Bacterial small subunit ribosomal RNA
Source: RNAcentral